Molecule: transfer RNA, 76 nt
Filed under: Bacillota bacterium
Lineage: Bacteria; Bacillati; Bacillota
Also listed under: 7 other names
Description: tRNA-Phe
Rfam family: tRNA
About the family: Transfer RNA (tRNA) molecules are approximately 80 nucleotides in length. Their secondary structure includes four short double-helical elements and three loops (D, anti-codon, and T loops).
Source: RNAcentral
GCCCAGAUAGCUCAGUUGGUAGAGCAGUGGACUGAAAAUCCACGUGUCACUGGUUCGAUUCCGGUUCUGGGCACCA